UUUUCGUUGUAAAGAGUUUCGUUAUAAAGAGUUUUCACUGUAGUUCAAUAUUCUGUGCAGAAUUUUGAAAUUUUUAAUUUGUUUUAGUUAUUUUACCGAUAACAACAAUAGUAAAGAUAUAAAAGUUAGGAAAACAAUACCCUAAGUAGUAUAAAUUACUUGUAAGCAUAAGAUAAUGAUUAUAUCUGCAUAAUUUAAUACAGUUAAUAAGUAGUGUGCCUAGAAAUAUUCAUUCAUUUUAUUUGGGAAAGUGUAUAAUGAUUGAAUAACAUUGCAUAGUGAUAUAUAUACUAAGUACCAACCAAAUGGUUAAUACUAAUAUUUUAACUUUUAUAUAGCUAUUGUAAGUACAUAGGUAUCUGAACUAUAAUGUAUCAAUAAAUUAUUUUUUUAUGAUAACUUGUCAUUGCUCUGAAACCAAUAGGAAGUAUAAAUUGUAUUCAUUACUUGUUAUUUUAUUUGAGAAAGUACGGAAAUAACAUAAUAAUAUUCUGUGUUAUUCUUAACACAGAAUACCUCAAUUUUUAAAUAAUUUUUUAAUUUGCAUAUGUUUAUUUAUUUCAGUUACAAGACAACUGUUUUUUCAAUGCUUUUGCACCACCUUACCCUUUCGAAGAAACUGAACAGAAGUAAAUAUGAGUAUAUAUUCUUAAAUUUAUAUACUAAGUAAUAUUUUUUGUUUCCGUGUAGUAAUUAAUCAUAUUAUAUAAAAUAAAUUGUAUUUAAUUAUGAAUUUGAUUAUCCACAAUAAAAUAAUUUAAUUAGGUAAUGUAUAAGUUUUAUUUAUUUUUCAUUUGAUGUUAUUUCUAGUAGCUCCUGUUAACUAUUGACCAUAUUUGGUCAGUUAAUAGUUAUAACUAUCAACUAUCCAGAAAAAAAAUGUAACAGUCCUGUUAGUUUCUAAUAAGACAUUUUGGCAUAAAUACUAUCCUCAUCACAUAAUGGAUGUUGUCAAAAUAGUUAAUAGAGUUUGAGAAAACAAUUUAAUGUGAUUUGAGCUUUAUGGUACAUACUUCUGCUACCAAAAUAGAAAUAAUUGUCCAACUCUUUUAGCAUAAGAUAUAAUUUAAAGUAUCUUCACGUAGGUCAGAAAAGAAUGCAAAAUCCCAGACAAUCUAUACAAAGCCAUAGGACCCUAUGAUGAUACACAAAACAUAAUGAAAAAAAAAAAUCAAAAAAUGAAAUGUAUACCUAACUUAAUUUAAUUUUAAUUCAUUACUAUUAUUUUAAGGUAAUAACCUUGUAGUUGAUGCUGUAACAAUAAAAAAAAUUUUUUAAGUAGGUUCUUAAUUUAUAUUUUUUUUAUUGAAAAUAACUUAUUUAAAUUGCUAUUUUUUUUAUAAAAUGUAGGUAGUCCAGUAGUCCACAUAGAAGCUGUACUUUUUACUAUGGUAAACUGAAUAGUGAAAGAUAACCCUUAAAUGACUACUAUUAAAAACAACACAUAAAUAUCAAUCUCAUAUUCUUAUUACUUUCAUUUAUACAUUUUGGACAUCAAGGGAAAAAAUUGAAAACUUAAUAUUGGAAUGAAUAAUCGAUGAAGGCUGUUGCCCCCUUCAGCUCGUCAAUUUAAUUACAGUUAAUAGUUACAGAUUUGUAUAAACCAGUUUUAAUUUAACGUGUACCAGGUACCUGUUAUUUUUCAUAUUAACUAAAAGAAUCUUUAGUAAUAACAAUAGAUAUUUAUUGUAUAUAAGUUAUUAAUUCAUUAGAUAACUAUCUAAUUACUUAUGUUAAAAGCUUUUUAAAUAAAUGGCCACAAUAGCAUACAAAUACAUUUAAAAUUGUGUACAUUAUAAUAUAAAUAGUACAAUUAUUAUUUAUUAACUUGAUACAUUUUCAAUAAUUUUACAAUCCUUCAAAACUCCGAGGAUCACUAUUUAAUGUUUUACACUUCCCCUAAUAAACUUUAGAUAUAGUAGGUAAAACAUAUUUUUUAUAUUUUGUCCCUCCCCCUCCCCCUUAUUACAAUUAACUCCAUGUUAUGUCACCAGCUUUGGUUUUACUUGUAUAAUUGUUUAAUGUAAAAUGUAAACAUAUUAAAUCUUAAUUAAUAUUCUGUUACCUACUCAAUAAUUGAAAUAUAGGAUAUUAGAAUAACAAUAAUGUAAUAUGAAUGUAUUAUGAUGAAUUAUAUUGUCACUCGUCUUAAAUAUAGUUAGGUUAUUGUAUAUUAUAACUAUAUAAGUCAUGCUUAAACUUAAGGUACAAAACAGUUAUAGGUACCAUCUAAUACAGUACAAUAAUAAUAUAAUGUUUAACAAUAAUUAUUAAUAACAGGACAAAAAAAAUCAAGUCUGGUUAUUAAAAAAAACCUUAUUGUGUCCUCUUAAGUAUAUAAUUAAUAAUUUUUAUUAUAAAAUAUUACUGUGUUACAUAUUUUUUUUUAUAAUUCUAUGAAAAGGAAUUAAGUAGUAGUUGUUAUUGUAAAUAGGUACUUAUGAUUAAAUGAAUAAAAUGCAUAGGCCUAUGUAUACUCAAGUGGCAAGUAUGGUUUUAACAUAAUAGGUAAGUGACAUACUUUAUUUAUUACUGGAAGAUAUAUGAUUAUUAGCUAUGUUUUAUAGAAUUAUAGUAACUUAAAACAAUAGAUCUUAAAAAAAAAAAAAA
This is a long non-coding RNA of Myzus persicae (green peach aphid), 2610 nucleotides long. RefSeq lists it as uncharacterized. Lineage: Eukaryota; Metazoa; Arthropoda; Insecta; Hemiptera; Aphididae. The record is from RefSeq and is a predicted model, not a curated record. The transcript is spliced from 2 exons.